UGUGUAGGCGGUUUGUUAAGUUAAUGUGAAGCCUGUGGCUCAACCACAGAAUUGCAUUUGAUACUGGCAGACUAGAGUGCAGGAGAGGUAAGUGGAAUUCCUAGUGUAGCGGUGGAAUGCGUAGAUAUUAGGAAGAACACCAGAGGCGAAGGCGGCUUACUGGACUGUUACUGACGCUGAGGCACGAAAGCAUGGGGAGCAAACA
This 205-nucleotide ribosomal RNA is filed under the name uncultured bacterium. RNAcentral's name for it is "partial 16S ribosomal RNA". It matches the Rfam family "Bacterial small subunit ribosomal RNA", at positions 568 to 774 of the family's 1533-position model. The record is from RNAcentral.